CUCUUGUAAUAUUAGCACCGUGCUUAUCUAGAGAGGAAGCGCUUCUCAUUAGUCCUCCUUCAACACAAACAUGUUUGCUUCAGCUCCACUGCUGCUGCUGGCUCUCGCCCCCUAUGUGUUCUGUGCUACUGAGCUCAUCCAGCCAGACUCAGUGCUUAUAAAGCCAGGAGAGACUUUAACCAUCACCUGUAGAGUGUCUGGAGCUUCUAUCACUGAUAGCAGCAGCCACCAUGGAACAGCUUGGAUUCGACAACCUGCAGGAAAAACUCUGGAAUGGAUCAAUUUAAUUUAUUUUAAUGGGAAUAUUGCUAAGAAAGAUUCACUUAAAAACAAGUUUGUCGUCUUCCAAGACACUUCCAGUAACACUGUGACCUUACGGGGACAGAACAUGCAGACUGAAGACACAGCUGUGUAUUACUGCGCUCGUGAUGCACACUGACACAACAAGCUGCAGCGCUGCACAAAAACAUCAUCUUCAUCACAAUUCAGUUCUGUAUUUAAAUAAUAAGCACAUUUAACUGAUUAACUAAUUCCCACAUUACAGACACUUCAACCCAAACAUUUAGAUCAUUUAAUCAUUUAACAAAAACUAAUGCAAACGUUUACUCAGUUCAUAGUUAUUAUUAAUAAUAUAUUAUUUAUCUUAUUUAUCUUUUUAAAUGAAAUGCAUCUGAAUGUCCAGUUAACAUUCCACUUGCUUCACAUAUUUGAAAGCAGUUUGUAACUUCAUACUGUAUAAUUGAAUUUGAAUAGCAGUCAUAGUAAUUGGCUUUUAAAUUAAAUGAUAUCUCUGAUGCCAAAAAAAUGUUGUUUCUUAAUGACUAAUUUCUGAUGUUGAUUUAAUACACAACACAUAAGAGAGAGGU
Pangasianodon hypophthalmus (striped catfish) is the source of this 866-nucleotide non-coding RNA. Lineage: Eukaryota; Metazoa; Chordata; Actinopteri; Siluriformes; Pangasiidae. The record is from the annotation of a RefSeq genome assembly.